GGAGAGGUGGCAGAGUGGCCGAAUGCGGCGGUCUCGAAAACCGUUUACCCUUCGGGGUACGUGAGUUCGAAUCUCACCCUCUCCG
Molecule: transfer RNA, 85 nt
Filed under: Coriobacteriaceae bacterium BV3Ac1
Lineage: Bacteria; Bacillati; Actinomycetota; Coriobacteriia; Coriobacteriales; Coriobacteriaceae
Rfam family: tRNA
About the family: Transfer RNA (tRNA) molecules are approximately 80 nucleotides in length. Their secondary structure includes four short double-helical elements and three loops (D, anti-codon, and T loops).
Source: Rfam by way of RNAcentral